This 1374-nucleotide long non-coding RNA is filed under the name Cavia porcellus (domestic guinea pig). RNAcentral describes it as "lncRNA (ENSCPOG00000031669.1)". Lineage: Eukaryota; Metazoa; Chordata; Mammalia; Rodentia; Caviidae. The record is from RNAcentral.
AUGGAGAAUCAGUACAUUCUGGGAAGUUCUGUAUUUUCUGCGAGCUUGAAUGACCUGCCGAGGUCCCUAACUGGCCCCAGGUUUCUCAAGGCAUCUGAGCUUCAAUUUGGAAAUCCCUCUUUCCUGAUAUCUCUGAAAUCGAAACCAAAACCUGAGCCUGAUCAAUGCCUGUCGAUGUCCGCUCCCGGCCGGCAGGAAGGACACACGACAAAGUCUGGUAGUGGACAACCUUUUCUUUUUAUUUUCCUUCUCCGUACAGCCUGCCCUGGGUUCUCCCAGCUGAAGCCUCCUCUGGUCCGCUCCCCGCGGCUCCUUUUGUGCUUCAGUCUGCCCCAAAGCCUCUACCGGUCCGCUCUCCACGGCUCCUUUUGGGCUUUUACUUCUGGGCUUCUACCUGGCUUCUUCUUCCGCCCAGGGGUGGCACCGGUAUAUAUACGGGUACAGUGUCCAAUCAUAUUAAAGUAAGCAAGGCAAGCUGAUUGGCUAACAUCAUCAGUUGCCAGGCAGACUAUAUUGUUGAGCGGGUUGUUUACGCGGUAAGCAGGAAACUAACAUAUUCGAUGGGAGGGGUAAUCUACCUCAGGCUUUGCUCUUUACCACAGGCCGCACGUCCGCCAAGUGAGGCGAGCUAUCACAGACGCGGCUCCCAACAUCUCCCCCUAUUUUAUUUUUUAUGAAUGUGCGCAUCGUAGCCCUUCCUGGACUGGGUGCAGAGGCUUAUGCCCUAUGUGUAGGUCCACCGUAGGUCCUUGGCUUAGACCCUGGUUGGCCAUGCCAUGGUCUGCCAAGGCCCUGAGGCCCUCGUGCUUUUUCUAGGGCCAGGCACAAACUGGACGGAACCUGGAUGCACACAAGCUUGCACUCAUUUCCUCUCCGUAAAGAAAUCCCCUCGGAGAGAAAUUUAGACCUGGGCAGCAUCUAACAGUCCAGCGGCUUACGUGCAGGAUGGGGUAGGGCCUGGCUUAGGUCGAGUCGUGCUGGGGAGGUACGCUCUUACCCGUCAUUGACUCACCUACCCUGCUGUGUAUUGUCACCUUAUGGAGGAGAAUGAGGGAUGCCCGCCAUAUCUAGACUCGGUCGUGGGCCAAUUGAGCAAGCCAUGCAUAUGCCUGAGGAUCUUCUUGUCCAUUUCGGGCUACCGCUAUUUUUAUUCAUCUUAUUGGUUGGUCUGUGAUGGAUCUCCAGUAGGGCAGGUCUGAUCUUCAGUCGAGGGCUUUGUUGCCCGUGUCAGUCUCUCCGGUAUCCACAGUGGUUCUCGUCCCGGUUCCUGUGGGAAAACACAAACCGCGCCUCGGUUCCAGCUGACCACUGGAUCCGGGCCCAUCCAUUGUCCUGUCAUAGAUAACCGCGCCUUUGGGGGCAGGCCUUGGCUUA